This is a non-coding RNA of Cinara cedri, 753 nucleotides long. The record is from the annotation of a GenBank genome assembly. NCBI's taxonomy places the organism in Eukaryota, Metazoa, Arthropoda, Insecta, Hemiptera, Aphididae.
UGAAGGAAGACUCCCUGAAGGGACUAAUUAGCCAUAUUGUAUAUAUGGGUGCUGUGGAAAUGUAUGUCAUGUUACAACCAGUUCAAAUAUGAAACAGAAAAAAUAAUUUUUUUUUCUAUCCGAUUUUUUUGGCUUUUUAAAAUAUUUACCACGUGGUUAUUUCAGGGCUAGUAUAAUAAAGUUUUUUUCAAACGAUUAUGAAGCAUUUUAAGCGCUACGAGUCCCGAACUCUGGGUUUAUCACUUAUAAAUACAAUAUACAAAUACUCGGGCGAUUCCCGUUUUCGCCACAGUCCUUUUUUGCUAAAAACCAAAAAUUUACGAUUCCCGUUUCCGUUGAAAUAGUUUUAGAAACCAAUGGUUUUAAUUUUUAUUUGUAAAACAUCUAGGUUCAUUUAGUUUAAUGUAACCUAUUGUAACAAGUCAAUAUCAUUUAACCGAUAAUUUAAUAAUAAUAUAACAAAUAUUGCGAAGAGCCAAAGAAUACCUAAUGUAGUAGGUAUACACUUUUGUUAAAACGGUUUCAUUUAAUUGCGUGAUUUUUUAAACUUUUACUAUUAUUAUAAUUAUUGACUUAUAUCGUUAUUACUAUAAAGUAUUAGUGCUUACAUUUUAGGUAUGCACAAUUUCAAAACAAUAUUUGGCGGAAACGUCUCUUUACAAAAUAGAUUUUGACUGAAACGGAAACCGUACCAUUUUCGUUUUUGGCGGAAAAGGGCUACGCUGAAUUAUUGGGAACCCGGUUUUUUUUUGG